This 464-nucleotide long non-coding RNA is filed under the name Nicotiana benthamiana. RNAcentral describes it as "long non-coding RNA (NBEN_LNC029087)". The record is from RNAcentral. Lineage: Eukaryota; Viridiplantae; Streptophyta; Magnoliopsida; Solanales; Solanaceae.
UCAUAAAUCCUUGAUUAAAAUCGGAAGAUUUUUAAAAAGGAAAUUUGGGGAAAAUGUUUAAAACAUCUCAUAUAGCACAGAUCAAGCCCAGAUCUAAACAAAUAAAUGUAAAAGAACCUCGAAUAGGCUAGCGUUUUUGAGAACCCUAGAAACGAGAAAGGCUUGGAAGAAACAAGACCAGAUCUGGAGUCGAUAAGGUCAGAAUCAUGCUCAGGAGGCUAAGACACACCGGAGCAAGGCCGGAGAUGGCUAAACAACUCGAAUCGACGAGUUCUGAGGGAUUCCCUUGAACUCGGGCCUCAAACCUUCAGGUAUCAAGCACGUGAGAGCGGUAGGAGGUGAGUAUAGGUCGCCUAUGGCUUGAACGGCCAUCGACUCCGGUGGUUUUGGGGUUGAAAGAGGCAGAGAAGAGAAUGAUUCGGGUUUUGAGAGAGUUCGAGAGCGUAUAAGAGAACAGAAGAGUU